UCCGGUUUGGCACCGGCAGUCUCCCUAGAGUUCCCGGCAUCACCCGCUGGCAACUAAGGACAGGGGUUGCGCUCGUUGCGCCACUUAAGGCAACACCUCACGACACGAGCUGACGACAGCCAUGCACCACCUGCGAUCCUGCCCCGAAGGGAAGCCCUGUUUCCGGAGCGGUCAGGAACAUGUCAAGCCCAGGUAAGGUUCUUCGCGUUGCGUCGAAUUAAACCACAUGCUCCGCUGCUUGUGCGGGUCCCCGUCAAUUCCUUUGAGUUUUAGCCUUGCGGCCGUACUCCCCAGGCGGGGCACUUAAUGCGUUAGCUGCGGCACCCAGGGGGUCAAUACCCCGGACACCUAGUGCCCAUCGUUUACAGCGUGGACUAC
Molecule: unclassified non-coding RNA, 378 nt
Filed under: uncultured bacterium
Lineage: Bacteria
Description: contains 16S-23S intergenic spacer region
Source: RNAcentral